Molecule: microRNA precursor, 434 nt
Filed under: Picea abies (Norway spruce)
Lineage: Eukaryota; Viridiplantae; Streptophyta; Pinopsida; Pinales; Pinaceae
Description: miR950a stem-loop (pab-MIR950a)
Gene: pab-MIR950a
Source: miRBase by way of RNAcentral
GAGGAGGAGGAGGAAGGGACGGUGUUCUUCAAGUGGAGGGAGAAAGAGGUUUUGGAGGUGAUCUUCACAUCUGGGCCACGAUGGUUUAUCUUUCUUCGUUUAUUUAUCAUAAACCAUGGUGCCCCAGAUGAGAAGAGCACCUUCGCCUUCGUUUAUUUACAUGGAUUGGACUGUUUCUGGAGGAACCGGCAGUCCAUCUCCAUUUGGGUAUUUUCUCUGCCGAAAUGGUGUAGAUGAUUUCAUCCUCUCCUCUUGUCAGACUCUGCCAGUUGAUCUGGAGUAAGAAGAAGAAUUUGAAGCGAAAGUGUUAUUGUCGUCUGGGCCCCGGUGGUUUAUGAUCGUCUAGGAUGUUCAGAACCACCGUGGCCAAGACGACAAGAAUACCCUCGUCUUUGCUUACAUGGAUCUCGGCAAACUUGAUUCCUCAAAUAGAA